Molecule: ribosomal RNA, 497 nt
Filed under: uncultured bacterium
Lineage: Bacteria
Description: partial 16S ribosomal RNA
Rfam family: Bacterial small subunit ribosomal RNA
Source: RNAcentral
GAUGAACGCUGGCGGCGUGCCUAAUACAUGCAAGUCGAGCGAACGGACGAGAAGCUUGCUUCUCUGAUGUUAGCGGCGGACGGGUGAGUAACACGUGGAUAACCUAUCUAUAAGACUGGGAUAACUUCGGGAAACCGGAGCUAAUACCGGAUAAUAUUUUGAACCGCAUGGUUCAAAAGUGAAAGACGGUCUUGCUGUCACUUAUAGAUGGAUCCGCGCUGCAUUAGCUAGUUGGUAAGGUAACGGCUUACCAAGGCAACGAUGCAUAGCCGACCUGAGAGGGUGAUCGGCCACACUGGAACUGAGACACGGUCCAGACUCCUACGGGAGGCAGCAGUAGGGAAUCUUCCGCAAUGGGCGAAAGCCUGACGGAGCAACGCCGCGUGAGUGAUGAAGGUCUUCGGAUAGUAAAACUCUGUUAUUAGGGAAGAACAUAUGUGUAAGUAACUGUGCACAUCUUGACGGUACCUAAUCAGAAAGCCACGGCUAACUACGUG